This 278-nucleotide ribosomal RNA is filed under the name uncultured prokaryote. RNAcentral describes it as "partial 16S ribosomal RNA". It matches the Rfam family "Bacterial small subunit ribosomal RNA", at positions 524 to 801 of the family's 1533-position model. The record is from RNAcentral.
UACGAAGGGGGCUAGCGUUGUUCGGAAUUACUGGGCGUAAAGCGCACGUAGGCGGAUAUUUAAGUCAGGGGUGAAAUCCCGGAGCUCAACUCCGGAACUGCCUUUGAUACUGGAUAUCUAGAGACCGAGAGAGGUAAGUGGAACUCCUAGUGUAGAGGUGGAAUUCGUAGAUAUUAGGAAGAACACCAGUGGCGAAGGCGGCUUACUGGCUCGGAACUGACGCUGAGGUGCGAAAGCGUGGGGAGCAAACAGGAUUAGAUACCUCGGUAGUCCCUGAG